Molecule: ribosomal RNA, 372 nt
Filed under: uncultured organism
Description: bacterial SSU rRNA
Rfam family: Bacterial small subunit ribosomal RNA
Source: RNAcentral
CGUAGGGACCAAGCGUUGUUCGGAUUUACUGGGCGUAAAGGGCGCGUAGGCGGCAAUUCAAGUCAGUUGUGAAAUCUCCGAGCUUAACUCGGAACGGUCAACUGACACUGCUUUGCUAGAGUACAGAAGGGGCAAUCGGAAUUCUUGGUGUAGCGGUGAAAUGCGUAGAUAUCAAGAGGAACACCUGAGGUGAAGACGGGUUGCUGGGCUGAUACUGACGCUGAGGCGCGAAAGCUAGGGUAGCAAACGGGAUUAGAUACCCCGGUAGUCCUAGCCCUAAACGAUGUAUGUUUGGUGUCUGGAGUUUUUAUUCUCCGGGUGCCGUCGCUAACGUUUUUAACAUACCGCCUGGGGAGUACGCUCGCAAGAGUG